GGAUGUGAAGGUGAUCUGGCUGUGUCAUCUGUUGCCCCAUUGAUCGCCAGGGUUGAUUCAGCUGAUCUGGCUGGCUAGGCAGGUGUCCCCUUCCUCCCUCACAGCUCCAUGUGCAUCCCUCCAGCAACCCUCCCACCUCAGCCUGCUGAGUAGCUGGGACCAUGGGCACACACCACUCACCCGGCUAAUUUUGUUUGUUUGUUUGUUUAUUUAUUUAUUUUGAGAUGGAGUCUUGCUCUGUCGC
This 244-nucleotide small nuclear RNA is filed under the name Homo sapiens (human). RNAcentral describes it as "7SK RNA". It matches the Rfam family "7SK RNA", at positions 1 to 187 of the family's 331-position model. Rfam says of the family: 7SK was discovered as an abundant small nuclear RNA in the mid-70s but a possible function has only recently been suggested. Two independent studies have found that 7SK RNA binds the CDK9/cyclin T complex (known as elongation factor P-TEFb). Lineage: Eukaryota; Metazoa; Chordata; Mammalia; Primates; Hominidae. The record is from Rfam by way of RNAcentral.